RNAcentral lists this ribosomal RNA (460 nucleotides) under uncultured bacterium. RNAcentral's name for it is "partial 16S ribosomal RNA". It matches the Rfam family "Bacterial small subunit ribosomal RNA", at positions 338 to 795 of the family's 1533-position model. The record is from RNAcentral.
CCUACGGGUGGCAGCAGUGAGGAAUAUUGGUCAAUGGACGAGAGUCUGAACCAGCCAAGUAGCGUGAAGGAUGACUGCCCUAUGGGUUGUAAACUUCUUUUAUAUGGGAAUAAAUUGUUCCACGUGUGGGAUUUUGUAUGUACCAUAUGAAUAAGGAUCGGCUAACUCCGUGCCAGCAGCCGCGGUAAUACGGAGGAUCCGAGCGUUAUCCGGAUUUAUUGGGUUUAAAGGGAGCGUAGGUGGGUUGUUAAGUCAGUUGUGAAAGUUUGCGGCUCAACCGUAAAAUUGCAAUUGAUACUGGGAGUCUUGAGUACAGGUGAGGUAGGCGGAAUUCGUGGUGUAGCGGUGAAAUGCUUAGAUAGCAAGAAGAACCCCGAUGGCGAAGGCAGCAUACCGGCGCCCGACUGACGCUGAGGCACGAAAGCGUGGGUAUCGAACAGGAUUAGAUACCCGGGUAGUC